This is a non-coding RNA of Zonotrichia albicollis (white-throated sparrow), 127 nucleotides long. The record is from RefSeq and is a predicted model, not a curated record. NCBI's taxonomy places the organism in Eukaryota, Metazoa, Chordata, Aves, Passeriformes, Passerellidae.
GCCGCUGCCGCCGUCUACACCAUCUACAUGGGCAAGGACAAGUACGAGAGUUCCACGUGGACAAACUCUCCUCAGCCCACGUCUACCUGCGGCUGCACCAGGGCCAGACCAUGGACGACAUCCCCAA